RNAcentral lists this ribosomal RNA (251 nucleotides) under uncultured prokaryote. RNAcentral describes it as "partial 16S rRNA". It matches the Rfam family "Bacterial small subunit ribosomal RNA", at positions 525 to 775 of the family's 1533-position model. The record is from RNAcentral.
ACGGGGGGUGCAAGCGUUGUUCGGAAUUAUUGGGCGUAAAGAGCGGGUAGGCGGCGUGAUAAGUCAGAUGUGAAAUCCCUGGGCUCAACCCAGGAAGUGCAGUUGAAACUGUGGAGCUGGAGUACGGGUGAGGAAGGAAGAAUUCCUGGUGCAGCGGUGAAAUGCGCAGAGAUCAGGAGGAACACCGAUGGCGAAGGCAGCUUCCUAACCCGUCAUUGACGCUGAGCCGCGAAAGCGUGGGUAGCAAACAG